This 30-nucleotide non-coding RNA is filed under the name Mus musculus (house mouse). Lineage: Eukaryota; Metazoa; Chordata; Mammalia; Rodentia; Muridae. The record is from RNAcentral.
UAAAAGCAGGAAUAUAAAAAUAAGUGCUGG